RNAcentral lists this ribosomal RNA (121 nucleotides) under Mikrocytos sp. AR-2014. RNAcentral describes it as "5.8S ribosomal RNA". Lineage: Eukaryota; Endomyxa; Ascetosporea; Mikrocytida; Mikrocytiidae. The record is from RNAcentral.
AAGUAACGCCGGUCGGUGGAUCCGUCGGCUCGGAAAGCGAGAAAGGCCGCAGUAGACUGCGAUAAUCGGGAGGGACGAGCGAAAUCGAGAACUCCCGAUGGCCUAAUGACAUAGUUGCCGU